GGACCCGUUGCAUAGCCCGGAUAGUGCGGAUGGCUUCGGACCAUCAGGUCGUGGGUUCGAAUCCCACCGGGCCCU
Molecule: transfer RNA, 75 nt
Filed under: Nitrosotalea sp.
Lineage: Archaea; Thermoproteati; Nitrososphaerota; Nitrososphaeria; Nitrosotaleales; Nitrosotaleaceae
Also listed under: 1 other name
Description: Candidatus Nitrosotalea sp. tRNA-Arg
Rfam family: tRNA
About the family: Transfer RNA (tRNA) molecules are approximately 80 nucleotides in length. Their secondary structure includes four short double-helical elements and three loops (D, anti-codon, and T loops). Further hydrogen bonds mediate the characteristic L-shaped molecular structure. tRNAs have two regions of fundamental functional importance: the anti-codon, which is responsible for specific mRNA codon recognition, and the 3' end, to which the tRNAs corresponding amino acid is attached (by aminoacyl-tRNA synthetases). tRNAs cope with the degeneracy of the genetic code in two manners: having more than one tRNA (with a specific anti-codon) for a particular amino acid; and 'wobble' base-pairing, i.e. permitting non-standard base-pairing at the 3rd anti-codon position.
Source: RNAcentral